This 478-nucleotide long non-coding RNA is filed under the name Homo sapiens (human). Its description in RNAcentral is "HSALNT0053787". The record is from RNAcentral. Lineage: Eukaryota; Metazoa; Chordata; Mammalia; Primates; Hominidae.
CCGGAUCUCUAGGAAGCCACAUCUCUAUGGUUCGUUUCUUUUCCCAGAACUGGGGAAGAGAGGCGGAACUCCUGAGCCCUUGGGUACUAGUGUUCCUUACAUCGAACAAGAACUGGCCGCUGUUUCAGACCGGAAGGGUGCAGAGAUGAAAGACAGGACCCAGGGUCUCAGGAUGCCUGUUGCCUCCUAAGAGAGUUGGACAUUUCUAUUUUGAUUUGCAUUUCAAUUGAGGUUGAUAGGGAGUGACCUUCACGUCUGAAUGACCUGGACAAGUUCAGCAACCCUAAAGGCAAACUGGCCUAGGGCCUGGGAAGUGGAGAAUGCCUAUUCCUAGGCUAACCCAAGCAUUAGAGAAGCAUCAGGCCGCCAUUCUAGACUCAACUGCUCACCUCCUCUGAUCCACUGAGGUGUCUCUGGAAAUCCUCCACCACAGCCACAGCCUCCUCACCACUCUCAGGGUGAUGCAGCUGCACCCAGG